GGGGAGAGCCACUCCGUGGAGGUUCCACAACCAGGCUGGAUGGCUGGGUGCAGGGGGAGCAGACUCGCAGAAGAAUCAACGCAGAGCGUGAAUGAAGGAAAUGGUCUGGGGAGGUGAGUGGGGGCUGUUGUUCCAAGACUAAGAGGAAAUGCCAGAGAGACGUCUGAGAUGAGGAACGUCACCACGCACGGCAAGAAGAAUUAAAUCUGGGCAGAAGAGGAACAAUUUCUCUUUCUUAGAGAAGGAGUUGAGAUGGAAAAACAGGAUCCUGCCAGGAAACAGAAUUCACAGAGGGUUCAGACAGAGAUACGUUAAAGCGAGAGCUACUUAUGGAAAUAAAGGCGGGGUAAGGACAUGUAAGGAGACAGCGAAGCGUGAAGGGGCUUAGCACCUGUGGGAAGCCGUCACCAUCCCAAGGGCCACAAAGAGGAAACAGUGUUUAUCAGAGGUAGGUAAGUAAGGCCGGAACUACUGGGACCAUGGAAAAGGGGACACCCUAGUGGGGUCACCAGUCAUGAAGGCACGUGGUCCCUGCCAGAGACUGGACGUCUACGCAGGACGGAAAGAGAAAACGCAGUUCCUGAUCUUCCGUUCCACCCCGAGUCCCUUUUGGAUGCCUGCCAUUGGCUGAACGCAACAGAUUCCAAUCCACAAAGGGAAUGCUGGUACCUUCUGCAAAGGUCCAAGUCCCAGGGCACAGAGCAGGACACAGAGGAGAACAGAAGGGAGCUGGAUCAGAAUGACACUACAGAUAGUUUCUAGAAAAUAGUAAAAGCUUAACAGCAUUACCUAAAAUUAUUGUAACAUCAAGCAGGUUAUAUUAAUAAAUAUGAUG
Molecule: long non-coding RNA, 835 nt
Organism: Camelus dromedarius (Arabian camel)
Lineage: Eukaryota; Metazoa; Chordata; Mammalia; Artiodactyla; Camelidae
Exons: 3
Source: RefSeq, a predicted model, not a curated record